Molecule: long non-coding RNA, 408 nt
Filed under: Phasianus colchicus (ring-necked pheasant)
Lineage: Eukaryota; Metazoa; Chordata; Aves; Galliformes; Phasianidae
Description: lncRNA (ENSPCLG00000015927.1)
Source: RNAcentral
UCCCCACUGCAAGCGGGGCACAGGGAGCACAGCCAGAGCCCCAAACACCCGAACAGCCCGCAGCCAGAGCACUAAGCACCCGCACUGCCCCAACAACCUGCACGGACCUGAGCACACAGAGCCCUGAGCACCCAGAGAGCACCCAGAGAGCACCCAGAGAGCACCCAGAGAGCACCCAGAGAGCACCCAGAGCUCAGGACAGCUGCGCAGCCCCAACAACCUGCAUGGACCUGAGCACACAGAGCCCUGAGCACACAGAGAGCACCCAGCACACACACGCAGAGCACCCAGCACGCACAGAGCCCUGAGCACACAGAGGGCACCCAGCACACACACGCAGGGAGCACCCAGCACCCAGAGCUCAGGGCAGCCGCACAGCCCCAACAACCUGCACGGACCUGAGCACAC